This 253-nucleotide ribosomal RNA is filed under the name uncultured bacterium. RNAcentral describes it as "partial 16S ribosomal RNA". It matches the Rfam family "Bacterial small subunit ribosomal RNA", at positions 524 to 776 of the family's 1533-position model. The record is from RNAcentral.
UACGAAGGGGGCUAGCGUUGCUCGGAAUGACUGGGCGUAAAGGGCGCGUAGGCGGCUUGUAUAGUCGGAUGUGAAAUUCCUGGGCUUAACCUGGGGGCUGCAUACGAGACGUAUGGGCUAGAGUCCGGAAGAGGAGAGUGGAAUUCCCGGUGUAGCGGUGAAAUGCGCAGAUAUCGGGAAGAACACCCGUGGCGAAGGCGGCUCUCUGGGACGGUACUGACGCUGAGACGCGAAAGCGUGGGGAGCGAACAGG